GUGCUGUGAACAUCAUUGCAGCACAUAUACUAAAAUUGGAAUGAUACAGAGAAAAUUAGCAUGGCUUCUGUGCAAGGAUGACACGCAAAUUUGUGAACAUCGUUGCAGUGCG
Small nuclear RNA from Chelonoidis abingdonii (Abingdon island giant tortoise), 112 nucleotides. The record is from Ensembl. Lineage: Eukaryota; Metazoa; Chordata; Testudines; Testudinidae.